CCUACGGGUGGCAGCAGUGAGGAAUAUUGGUCAAUGGACGAGAGUCUGAACCAGCCAAGUAGCGUGAAGGAUGACUGCUCUAUGGGUUGUAAACUUCUUUUAUAAAGGAAUAAAACGAGGCACGUGUGCCUUUUUGCAUGUACUUUUUGAAUAAGGAUCGGCUAACUCCGUGCCAGCAGCCGCGGUAAUACGGAGGUUCCGAGCGUUAUCCGGAUGUAUUGGGUUGAAAGGGAGCGUAGAUGGGUUGUUAAGUCAGUUGUGAAAGUUUGCGGCGCAACCGUAAAAUUGCAAUUGAUACUGGCAGUCGUGAGUACAGUUGAGGUAGGCGGAAUUCGUGGUGUAGCGGUGAAAUGCUUAGAUAUCACGAAGAACCCCGAUGGCGAAGGCAGCUUACUAAACUGUGACUGACAUUGAUGCUCGAAAGUGUGGGUAUCAAACAGGAUUAGAUACCCGAGUAGUC
This 460-nucleotide ribosomal RNA is filed under the name uncultured bacterium. RNAcentral describes it as "partial 16S ribosomal RNA". It matches the Rfam family "Bacterial small subunit ribosomal RNA", at positions 338 to 795 of the family's 1533-position model. The record is from RNAcentral.